AAGAAUUAUUACUUUAAAGUAUUUGGUUGGGGUGACAAAAAUAAAAGAUAAAGUAACUGUUUUUUUUUUAUACAAUAAUGUUUGGGUUAGUGAUCCUAAAAUGGAUUAAAGAUUAAGUUACUUUAGGGAUAACAGCGUAAUUUUCUUUAAGAGUUCUUAUCGAUAAGAAAGUUUGCGACCUCGAUGUUGAAUUAAAGGUUCUUUAUGGAGUAGAGACUAUAAAAGAAGGUCUGUUCGACCUUUAAAACUUUACAUGAUUUGAGU
Molecule: ribosomal RNA, 264 nt
Filed under: Cambarus tenebrosus
Lineage: Eukaryota; Metazoa; Arthropoda; Malacostraca; Decapoda; Cambaridae
Description: partial 16S ribosomal RNA
Rfam family: Bacterial large subunit ribosomal RNA (bases 128-264)
Source: RNAcentral